AUGCUCAGGGCUUGUGUGAUCUCCUUCGGCAUGAAGUGGGAGGAUUGUCUUCCUUAUGCUGAAUUCUCCUACAACAACAGUUUUCAAGCAAGUUCGAGCAAGGCCCCAUUUGAAAUUCUGUAUGGCAGGAAGUGCCAUACCCCUCUCAACUGGUCCAAAACCGGUGAACGUCAGCUUUUGGGUAAUGACUUAAUCAGAGAGGCAGAGGAAAUGUGCAAAGUCCUUCGAGAUAACGUCAAAGCAGCCCAAUCCCGUCAGAAGAGCUACUAUGAUAGUAAGCACCGUGAUUUGGCUUUCGAGAUCGGAGAUCAUGUUUACCUCCACGUCUCUCCUAUGAAAGGUACUCGUUGCUUCGGUAUCAAAGGGAAGCUUGCCCCCAGAUACGUGGGACCUUUCAAGAUUGUCAGCAAGAGAGGCGAUCUCGCCUAUGAACUCGAGCUUCCUUCAAACUUUGCAAAUGUUCAUGACGUGUUCCAUGUCUCUCAGCUUCGAAAGUGCUUCAAGACUCCUGACUGCACCGUCAACUUUGAGGACACUGACCUCCAAGAAGAUCUCUCUUAU
RNAcentral lists this ribosomal RNA (561 nucleotides) under Triticum aestivum (bread wheat). RNAcentral's name for it is "partial small subunit ribosomal RNA". The record is from RNAcentral. Lineage: Eukaryota; Viridiplantae; Streptophyta; Magnoliopsida; Poales; Poaceae.